CCCAGGUACAGAAGAUCGAGCAGAAAUACGAGAUGCAAGCAGAUAAGAUGAUGAGAGCAGCAGCAAAGGAUGUGCACAGGUUACGAGGGCAGAGCAGCAAGGAGCCUUUGGAGGUGCAGUCAUUCAGAGAGAAGAUGGCAUUUUUCACUCGGCCCAAGAACGAACCUACCUACACUCACAGCAGAUGAUGUUUAUAAUCAUCAUAAAGUAUUUUAUGUUCUAUAUUUUUUUCGGUUCUGAGCACCAUGGCAAAGGAAAUGCAGCCUGGUGAAGCUGAAAAUGUAAUUGUGUGGUGUAAUGAAGUUACAGAGUUUCAUGUCACUUAUUAUUUUGCAUUGCAAUAACCAGCAGAGUAACACUGGCUUGAGGUACGACAACACAAGUGGACAUUUUUAUUUUUAUCGUCGUGAUUACAAAACCAGCAUUCCUUUUCCACGUCUGUAUAGCUUGUAUAUUUAGAGCUGUAUUUUCAGAUGAACCGUUUCAGAUGUUGUGUGUGUGCAAUGUAUAACUUUUGUACAGUCCGCUUCAGAGAUUUGUAAUGCAAUAAAUUCUAUUAAAAUGGGCUACUAGAAAAAGGAAUACUUACAGAUUCACGCAACUUUUUGGACAUUAACUAUUUUGUAUCGGAUGUUUUAGCAAAUUCGUGCUAUAUCAUAAUGCUAAAUAGACAAUUUUAUGAUAUAAUACAGUUUGGAAUAUAUUUUGAAAUGCACUUACCACAUUGUGGCCCCCAUGGAAAGACAAAUGAAGAAAAAAAAAUCAGUUACCGGUUCCUUAAAUUGGUCUAAAAUAUUAUGUGAUGAACAUUUUAGUGGUGCAUAGUUACGGUCAAAUGCAAU
Long non-coding RNA from Xenopus laevis (African clawed frog), 842 nucleotides. RefSeq lists it as uncharacterized. Lineage: Eukaryota; Metazoa; Chordata; Amphibia; Anura; Pipidae. The record is from RefSeq and is a predicted model, not a curated record. The transcript is spliced from 2 exons.